AAAUGAACGCUAUGACGCUGGCGGCAGGCUUAACACAUGCAAGUCGAGCGGUAACAGAGAUAGCUUGCUAUCUGCUGACGAGCGGCGGACGGGUGAGUAAUGCUUGGGAAUAUGCCUUAUGGUGGGGGACAACAGUUGGAAACGACUGCUAAUACCGCAUAACGUCUACGGACCAAAGGGGGGGAUGCUUCGGCACCUCUCGCCAUUUGAUUAGCCCAAGUGAGAUUAGCUAGUAGGUGAGGUAAGAGCUCACCUAGGCGACGAUCUCUAGCUGGUUUGAGAGGAUGAUCAGCCACACUGGGACUGAGACACGGCCCAGACUCCUACGGGAGGCAGCAGUGGGGAAUAUUGCACAAUGGGCGAAAGCCUGAUGCAGCCAUGCCGCGUGUGUGAAGAAGGCCUUCGGGUUGUAAAGCACUUUCAGCGAGGAGGAAAGGUUAGUCGUUAAUAUCGGCUAGCUGUGACGUUACUCGCAGAAGAAGCACCGGCUAACUUCGUGCCAGCAGCCGCGGUAAUACGAGGGGUGCAAGCGUUAAUCGGAAUUACUGGGCGUAAAGCGUGCGUAGGUGGUUUGUUAAGCAAGAUGUGAAAGCCCUG
RNAcentral lists this ribosomal RNA (597 nucleotides) under Colwellia sp. FAR19. RNAcentral describes it as "bacterial SSU rRNA". It matches the Rfam family "Bacterial small subunit ribosomal RNA", at positions 1 to 605 of the family's 1533-position model. Lineage: Bacteria; Pseudomonadati; Pseudomonadota; Gammaproteobacteria; Alteromonadales; Colwelliaceae. The record is from RNAcentral.